CCUACGGGUGGCAGCAGUGGGGAAUAUUGGACAAUGGGCGAAAGCCUGAUCCAGCCAUGCCGCGUGUGUGAAGAAGGCCUUCGGGUUGUAAAGCACUUUCAGUGGGGAAGAAAGCCUUGGGGCUAAUACCCUCGAGGAAGGACAUCACCCACAGAAGAAGCACCGGCUAACUCCGUGCCAGCAGCCGCGGUAAUACGGAGGGUGCGAGCGUUAAUCGGAAUUAUUGGGCGUAAAGCGCGCGUAGGCGGUCUGAUAAGCCGGUUGUGAAAGCCCCGGGCUCAACCUGGGAACGGCAUCCGGAACUGUCAGGCUAGAGUGCAGGAGAGGAAGGUAGAAUUCCCGGUGUAGCGGUGAAAUGCGUAGAGAUCGGGAGGAAUACCAGUGGCGAAGGCGGCCUUCUGGACUGACACUGACGCUGAGGUGCGAAAGCGUGGGUAGCAAACAGGAUUAGAUACCCUAGUAGUC
This 465-nucleotide ribosomal RNA is filed under the name Vreelandella stevensii. Its description in RNAcentral is "partial 16S ribosomal RNA". It matches the Rfam family "Bacterial small subunit ribosomal RNA", at positions 338 to 795 of the family's 1533-position model. Lineage: Bacteria; Pseudomonadati; Pseudomonadota; Gammaproteobacteria; Oceanospirillales; Halomonadaceae. The record is from RNAcentral.